Molecule: ribosomal RNA, 449 nt
Filed under: uncultured bacterium
Lineage: Bacteria
Description: partial 16S ribosomal RNA
Rfam family: Bacterial small subunit ribosomal RNA
Source: RNAcentral
AACGAACGCUGGCGGCAUGCCUAAUACAUGCAAGUCGAACGAUCACUUCGGUGGUAGUGGCGCACGGGUGCGUAACGCGUGGGAAUCUGCCCUUGGGUUCGGAAUAACGUCGGGAAACUGACGCUAAUACCGGAUGAUGACGUACGUCAAAAGAUUUAUCGCCCAGGGAUGAGCCCGCGUAGGAUUAGCUAGUUGGUGGGGUAAAGGCUUACCAAGGCGACGAUCCUUAGCUGGUCUGAGAGGAUGAUCAGCCACACUGGGACUGAGACACGGCCCAGACUCCUACGGGAGGCAGCAGUAGGGAAUAUUGGACAAUGGGGGCAACCCUGAUCCAGCAAUGCCGCGUGAGUGAUGAAGGCCUUAGGGUUGUAAAGCUCUUUUACCCGGGAUGAUAAUGACAGUACCGGGAGAAUAAGCCCCGGCUAACUCCGUGCCAGCCGCCGCGGUAA